This 304-nucleotide ribosomal RNA is filed under the name uncultured bacterium. RNAcentral's name for it is "partial 16S ribosomal RNA". It matches the Rfam family "Bacterial small subunit ribosomal RNA", at positions 506 to 807 of the family's 1533-position model. The record is from RNAcentral.
CAGCAGUAGCCGCGGGAAAACGGAGGGUGCGAGCGUUAAUCGGAAUUACUGGGCGUAAAGCGUGCGCAGGCGGUUCGUUAAGACAGAUGUGAAAUCCCCGGGCUUAACCUGGGAACUGCAUUUGUGACUGGCGAGCUAAAGUAUGGCAGAGGGGGGUAGAAUUCCACGUGUAGCAGUGAAAUGCGUAGAUAUGCGGAGGAACACCGAUGGUGAAGGCAAUCCCCUGGACCUGUACUGACGCUCAUGCACGAAAGCGUGGGGAGCAAACAGGAUUAGAUACCCCCGUAGUCCCUGUCUCUUAUAC